This is a long non-coding RNA of Oncorhynchus tshawytscha (Chinook salmon), 284 nucleotides long. Lineage: Eukaryota; Metazoa; Chordata; Actinopteri; Salmoniformes; Salmonidae. The record is from Ensembl.
GGAGGAGGAGGACAGGGGAGGAGGACAGGAGAGGAGGGGGACAGGGCAGGUGCGGAGGAGGACAGGGGAGGACUCAGUGGGUAAGAUGGAGAUCUUGAGGAGGGUGGGGAGGACAGGGACUGAUGCAGGAGAGUUGGAGGAGAUCUCGAUAGAGGAGGCGAACUUGAGGGAGGGUGGGGGAGGUCUCAAAAGGGCAACGGUAGUAGACACAGAAACAUCUCAUUAUAUACAUACAUAUAUACAGUGCCUUGCGAAAGUAUUCGGCCCCCUUGAACUUUGCAACC